This 778-nucleotide ribosomal RNA is filed under the name uncultured Neocallimastigales. Its description in RNAcentral is "partial large subunit ribosomal RNA". It matches the Rfam family "Eukaryotic large subunit ribosomal RNA", at positions 23 to 647 of the family's 3401-position model. Lineage: Eukaryota; Fungi; Neocallimastigomycota; Neocallimastigomycetes; Neocallimastigales. The record is from RNAcentral.
AGAGAGAGACAUGCGCGCAUAUCAAUAAGCGGAGGAAAAGAAAGCUAACAAGGAUUCCCCUAGUAACGGCGAGUGAAGCGGGAAGAGCUCAAAUUUGAAAUCUUAAAGGGUUUCCCUUACGAAUUGUAGUUUAAAGAAGUGUUUUCUGUUGAGGUUUUGGUAAAAGUUCUUUGGAAUAGGACAUCAUAGAGGGUGAGAAUCCCGUAUUUGACCUUUACUUUCAACUUUGUGAUACACUUUCAAAGAGUCGGAUUGUUUGGGAAUGCAGUCCAAAGUGGGUGGUAAAUUUCAUCUAAAGCUAAAUAUUGGCGAGAGACCGAUAGCGAACAAGUACCGUGAGGGAAAGAUGAAAAGAACUUUGAAAAGAGAGUUAAACAGUACGUGAAAUUGUCAAAAGGGAAGCGUUUGACACCAGUGUUGUUUUUCUGAAAAUCAAUUAAAGAACUGUUUAGUGCUAAGCUUGUUUAGACUUUAUCAGCUGUACUGUUUAGUUUUGAGCUUUUCUUUAAUGCACUUUUCAGUUAACAAGUCAACAUCAAUUUCUUUUGCUGUAAAAAAGCUUGAGGAAGGUGGCUUGAGAUUCGUCUUAAGUGUUUAUAGCCUCUUGCCUAUGCAGUCGGAGAGAUUGAGGUCUGCAGCGUAGAUCCUUCGGGGCUAAAUGCAUUUGUGCUAAGUUAUAAGCAUUUUAUAGACAACUUGUUGACUAUGAUUUGUCUUGUAGCUUACUCGCUUAUGUUAUUUUACCUACGCUUAGGAUGUUGACGCAUGAGAUAUACGC